Molecule: long non-coding RNA, 319 nt
Filed under: Eucalyptus grandis
Lineage: Eukaryota; Viridiplantae; Streptophyta; Magnoliopsida; Myrtales; Myrtaceae
Description: long non-coding RNA (EGRA_LNC002752)
Source: RNAcentral
UCUUCAGCUCGCUGUCGUCCCUCCCCCGUGCGAGUCCAGCCGCUACCCAGCUCAGUCCGGCGCCUCCGGCCACCGCCUACCUCCGUCCGGCCACCGUGCCACCCCCCGGCGUCCCCCUCAUCUUCCGCCGGCCUCCCCUCGCCGUUUUGGCCACCGGAGCAGCCCCGGCCAGCCUCGUCCAGCAACCCACGAAAUGGGUUUCCAGCUGGUUCGAGCUCGCUUUUGGGCCGUUUCCGGGCCCCGAACCCGAGCUGUGCUUUGGGAAGUUUCAUUCCUCGCGCCGCCGCCGUUGGAUCGAUCCGAUUUGUGCGCGAUUUGG